This 72-nucleotide transfer RNA is filed under the name Enterococcus faecalis. Its description in RNAcentral is "tRNA-Lys". It matches the Rfam family "tRNA". From Rfam's summary of the family: Transfer RNA (tRNA) molecules are approximately 80 nucleotides in length. The record is from RNAcentral. Lineage: Bacteria; Bacillati; Bacillota; Bacilli; Lactobacillales; Enterococcaceae.
UGGCGUGUAGUUCAAUUAGAGAGAGCAGUUGGUUUUUAAUCAAUGAUGCAGGUUCGAUUCCUACCACGCCAA